Molecule: ribosomal RNA, 254 nt
Filed under: uncultured bacterium
Lineage: Bacteria
Description: partial 16S ribosomal RNA
Rfam family: Bacterial small subunit ribosomal RNA
Source: RNAcentral
UACGGGGGGAGCAAGCGUUGUUCGGAUUUACUGGGCGUAAAGGGCGCGUAGGCGGCCACCGCAAGUCACUUGUGAAAUCUCCGGGCUUAACCCGGAAAGGUCAACUGAUACUGCGGGGCUAGAGUGCAGAAGGGGCAACUGGAAUUCUCGGUGUAGCGGUGAAAUGCGUAGAUAUCGAGAGGAACACCAGUGGCGAAAGCGACUUCCUGGCCUGUUCUUGACGCUGAGGCGCGAAAGCUAGGGUAGCAAACGGG